UACGUAGGGGGCAAGCGUUGUCCGGAAUUAUUGGGCGUAAAGCGCACGCAGGCGGUCUGCCAAGUUUGGAGUGACAGUUGGUGGCUCAACCACCGAAGUGCUUCGAAAACUGACAGACUUGAGGGCUUCAGAGGGACACGGAAUUCCGGGUGGAGUGGUGAAAUGCGUAGAGAUCCGGAGGAACACCGAAGGCGAAGGCAGUGUCCUGGGGAGUACCUGACGCUCAGGUGCGAAAGCUAGGGGAGCGAACGGG
RNAcentral lists this ribosomal RNA (253 nucleotides) under uncultured bacterium. RNAcentral describes it as "partial 16S ribosomal RNA". It matches the Rfam family "Bacterial small subunit ribosomal RNA", at positions 524 to 776 of the family's 1533-position model. The record is from RNAcentral.